Myotis davidii is the source of this 52-nucleotide non-coding RNA. The record is from Rfam. NCBI's taxonomy places the organism in Eukaryota, Metazoa, Chordata, Mammalia, Chiroptera, Vespertilionidae.
UUUUAAGUAUAAGUAUGUCUCAUAUACUAUUUGGGAUAUACUUAUACUAAAU